AAGGUCCCUGAAUCCUCGAGCCCUGUCAGAGCCUUGAGCAGUGCCACCUGCGGGUGACUCGCCACUAUCGCUGGCCAGGACUUCUGGAUAUUGGCAAGAAUCAGUCAGUGAGUCGACAAUCAUUAAGCGCUGACUCUGUGCCAGGCAAUGUGCUGGCCGCAGGGAAUAACAAGAAAGGCAAAAAACAGUGUUCACGCUCUGUGGUGGUAAAGUUGGAAGGGAACUGAGAGAUCAUCCAGGCUGACCCUUUUGGUUUCCAGAGGAGGAAAGUAAGACUCUGAAAACUUCUAGUGAUUUGCUCAGCAGAAUUGGCACUAGAACCUUCACUUCCUCUGAAGUGAGAAAAGGGAAGCUCCCUAAAAAUUGUCUGUGAAGCUCAGUAGUUGCAAAAUCAGGACUGAAGCCAAAGCUCCUGGCUCCAGGGAAGGCUUCUAUGGGACAUGGAGCAGUGGAGGUGUGGGAAAAGAAGACAGAGUUGGAAGAAGAUGGAUUAAAAAUUGUGAGGCGGGGGGUGAGGAGGUGGUUGGGAAUGGCAAAAGCAAUGAUUUCAGAGAAACCUCAGAAGACUUGUAUGAACUGAUGCAGACUGAAGUAAGCAAAAAUAGGAGAACCAUAACAACAUUGUAAAGGCAAACAACUUUGAAAGAGUCAAGAACUCUCAUCAGUUCAGUGACCAACCACUAUUCCAGAGGACCCAUGAUGAAAUAUGAUAUGCAUCUUCUGACAUAGAGGUGAUAGUCUUAGGAUGCUGGUUGAGGCAUUUAUAUUUUUGGAUAUGGCGAAUGUGGGAAUUAGUUUUACUUCAUUAUGCAUAUUUGU
Molecule: long non-coding RNA, 819 nt
Organism: Trichosurus vulpecula (common brushtail)
Lineage: Eukaryota; Metazoa; Chordata; Mammalia; Diprotodontia; Phalangeridae
Exons: 4
Source: RefSeq, a predicted model, not a curated record